RNAcentral lists this transfer RNA (111 nucleotides) under Henningerozyma blattae CBS 6284. RNAcentral describes it as "Tetrapisispora blattae CBS 6284 tRNA". It matches the Rfam family "tRNA". From Rfam's summary of the family: Transfer RNA (tRNA) molecules are approximately 80 nucleotides in length. Their secondary structure includes four short double-helical elements and three loops (D, anti-codon, and T loops). Lineage: Eukaryota; Fungi; Ascomycota; Saccharomycetes; Saccharomycetales; Saccharomycetaceae. The record is from Rfam by way of RNAcentral.
GGUUGUUUGGCCGAGCGGUCUAAGGCGCCUGAUUCAAGCUUAUGCUUAACACUAAUAAAGUGGGAUUCUCAGGUAUCGUAAGAUGCAAGAGUUCGAAUCUCUUAGCAACCA